UACGGAGGGUGCAAACGUUGCUCGGAAUCACUGGGCGUAAAGCGCACGUAGGCGGCCAAGUAAGUUGGAUGUGAAAGCCCUGGGCUCAACCCAGGAAGUGCAUCCAAAACUGCUUGGCUUGAGUACCGGAGGGGUUCAGAGAAUUCCCGGUGUAGAGGUGAAAUUCGUAGAUAUCGGGAGGAAUACCAGUGGCGAAGGCGCUGAACUGGACGGUAACUGACGCUGAGGAGCGACAGCGUGGGGAGCAAACAGG
This 253-nucleotide ribosomal RNA is filed under the name uncultured bacterium. Its description in RNAcentral is "partial 16S ribosomal RNA". It matches the Rfam family "Bacterial small subunit ribosomal RNA", at positions 524 to 776 of the family's 1533-position model. The record is from RNAcentral.